UACCAUGCAAGUCGAGCGGAACGAGUUAUCUGAACCUUCGGGGAACGAUAACGGCGUCGAGCGGCGGACGGGUGAGUAAUGCCUGGGAAAUUGCCCUGAUGUGGGGGAUAACUAUUGGAAACGAUAGCUAAUACCGCAUAACGUCUACGGACCAAAGAGGGGGACCUUCGGGCCUCUCGCUUCAGGAUAUGCCCAGGUGGGAUUAGCUAGUUGGUGAGGUAAUGGCUCACCAAGGCGACGAUCCCUAGCUGGUCUGAGAGGAUGAUCAGCCACACUGGAACUGAGACACGGUCCAGACUCCUACGGGAGGCAGCAGUGGGGAAUAUUGCACAAUGGGCGCAAGCCUGAUGCAGCCAUGCCGCGUGUAUGAAGAAGCCUUCGGGUUGUAAAGUACUUUCAGUCGUGAGGAAGGC
Molecule: ribosomal RNA, 413 nt
Filed under: Vibrio sp. con7
Lineage: Bacteria; Pseudomonadati; Pseudomonadota; Gammaproteobacteria; Vibrionales; Vibrionaceae
Description: bacterial SSU rRNA
Rfam family: Bacterial small subunit ribosomal RNA
Source: RNAcentral